Molecule: ribosomal RNA, 301 nt
Filed under: uncultured bacterium
Lineage: Bacteria
Description: partial 16S ribosomal RNA
Rfam family: Bacterial small subunit ribosomal RNA
Source: RNAcentral
CAGUCGCCGCGGUAAUACGAAGGGGGCUAGCGUUGCUCGGAAUGACUGGGCGUAAAGGGCGCGUAGGCGGUUUGGACAGUCGGGUGUGAAAUUCCUGGGCUUAACCUGGGGACUGCAUUCGAGACGUUCAGGCUUGAGUGGGGAAGAGGGUCGUGGAAUUCCCAGUGUAGAGGUGAAAUUCGUAGAUAUUGGGAAGAACACCGGUGGCGAAGGCGGCAACCUGGUCCAUUACUGACGCUGAGGCGCGACAGCGUGGGGAGCAAACAGGAUUAGAGACCCGCGUAGUCCCUGUCUCUUAUAC